RNAcentral lists this ribosomal RNA (496 nucleotides) under uncultured bacterium. RNAcentral's name for it is "partial 16S ribosomal RNA". It matches the Rfam family "Bacterial small subunit ribosomal RNA", at positions 29 to 507 of the family's 1533-position model. The record is from RNAcentral.
AUGAACGCUGGCGGCGUGCCUAAUACAUGCAAGUCGAGCGAACAGACGAGGAGCUUGCUCCUCUGACGUUAGCGGCGGACGGGUGAGUAACACGUGGAUAACCUACCUAUAAGACUGGGAUAACUUCGGGAAACCGGAGCUAAUACCGGAUAAUAUAUUGAACCGCUUGGUUCAAUAGUGAAAGACGGUUUUGCUGUCACUUAUAGAUGGAUCCGCGCCGCAUUAGCUAGUUGGUAAGGUAACGGCUUACCAAGGCAACGAUGCGUAGCCGACCUGAGAGGGUGAUCGGCCACACUGGAACUGAGACACGGUCCAGACUCCUACGGGAGGCAGCAGUAGGGAAUCUUCCGCAAUGGGCGAAAGCCUGACGGAGCAACGCCGCGUGAGUGAUGAAGGUCUUCGGAUCGUAAAACUCUGUUAUUAGGGAAGAACAAAUGUGUAAGUAACUAUGCACGUCUUGACGGUACCUAAUCAGAAAGCCACGGCUAACUACGUG